GACGAACGCUGGCGGCGUGCUUAACACAUGCAAGUCGAACGAAGUGGCGAACGGGUGAGUAACGCGUAAUCAACCUGCCCUUCCGAGGGGGACAACAGUUGGAAACGACUGCUAAUACCGCAUACUGAAGGAGGGGAUUGCGUCUGAUUAGCUAGUUGGAGGGGUAACGGCCCACCAAGGCGAUGAUCGGUCGACGGUCUGAGAGGAUGAACGGCCAAAUUGGGAAGGAGACACGGCACAGAAUCCGACGGGUGGCAGCAGUGGGGAAACUUGCGCAAUGGAAGAAAGGCUGAAGGGGGAACGACGGGUGAGGGAGGACGGCCUUCGGGUUGUAAAGCUCUGGUAAUCGGGACACGGUACCGGAAUAGAAAGCCACGGCGAACUACGUGCCAGCAGCCGCGGUAAUUC
This 408-nucleotide ribosomal RNA is filed under the name uncultured bacterium. Its description in RNAcentral is "partial 16S ribosomal RNA". It matches the Rfam family "Bacterial small subunit ribosomal RNA", at positions 28 to 526 of the family's 1533-position model. The record is from RNAcentral.